UUUAUUAAUGCUUUUCAGGGUUAAAAGAAUUGGAUAUUUCACCAUGUGGAGUUUCUCUGCCUCACUGAUGAUCUAAGGUCAAACCUGCCAGUUUAUGGGGGAUAAUAGACCCUGUAACAUCUGACCCACCACCUGCAGUAAGCUCUGAGACAGACAUAGCUGGAGCCUGGAUGAAGGUCAGUGCUUUUCCUCCAGAAGAGUAGAUGUUAACUUCAAAUUUAAAUGAUGACUGUUUUUACCACAACAAAAGAAGAGAUGGUGAGACCAAGAUGAUGAUGACAAGAUGUUGGAGGAAUCAGCCAAGCUCAGAUAAGAGCUCAGAGAAAGGAGUCCAAGGCCCUUCUGAUGGGUGUACUCUGCCUCCAGCCCUGGGCCCCACUCCUGCACUCUGCUCCUGCCAUCUCCUGCUCCAGGCCUGCAUCAUCUCCAUCCUGAGAAGAAAAAUGGAGGAAACUGCGGUAUGUUCAAUGGAACAGAAUAAACCACUGAACAGUAGGAAAGGACAGACAGGUAAUGAGAGAAGGUCAUCCUGCAAGUCAGCAGAGGAGUUAAAAACAGACACAAGUUUUCUUGAACAAUGAGGCAUUAUGUCUUCUCACCAUGAACAUGUCCAUUUUAAAUUUCUGACUGUGCUGUAGAUAGGCAUUUAAGUACCAGAAAAGUACAUGGCGCAGAGUACUGCUGACUGCGGGUUCUCGUCUUAAUGCAUUUUCCAACCUUGAACCUGAGAAUGCGAGAGGCUCGAGACUCUGGACGCUCAUCCGAGUGGCAGGCAGUCUGCUGGUGGCCUGGCUCCUGAGGUAACGUGUGUGUCCUGAGCGUGCGUGUGUGCUAACAACAGCAGCAGUGCCACGUGGCACCCAGAGGUCACUGCAGUUCUGGCCUGGGGGUUCCUGAUCCUCGGCUUCUGAGGUGAACUGUGAACCUGGGGUGUCUUGAGAAGUGCAAGCACUUUGUGGAGUUCCACAGCAAACAUGGAUGCAAGCACAGACACAGCUUUUUCAAAGCGAAAGUAGGGGCCUCGAGGAAGGAAUUACCCUCAUCUCACCCCCAACCUGCUUACUGUGCUGGAAAACAAAUGUUUAUACAAGGACAACACAGACACAAAUCCUGCCCUCGUGGAACUUGGAGGCCAGUGGAAGGAGCAGGCCGCAUGAUUCUCCCACGAUGGCAGGUUACGUGCUGCGAGGGAAAAGCACACACAGGAGAGGAUCUCAGUAAGCCUGCUGUGGCAACUCUGUAUGUGCAGCCAGAAACUGAGGCCAAUGACAGAGCUCUUCUGCUGUUACCUCUUAGAGGAUAGAUUUCUAAGCAUUUGGUUUUUAAAGGCUAUCUGUAUAGAAGCACUCUUGGAGAUUAGUAUUUUAAGUUCUUUUUCAUGUAGGCAAAGAAUAGAUAGAAAGUUUUUCCUAACCAGUGCAAAUGACGGUCUGUGAAAACUAAUUUCCCACAUGUACCUUUUAGGAUUGGAUGAAAACUGUUGGUUGAAUUGUGAUAAACCGGAGAAGAAAACUUUAAUUUUUUUCAAAUACAGUUGGAUUAAGAUAUAUAUAUUGUCUACCAUUUUCAGAAGAGGAAUUGGCAAAGGGAGAGCUAAUUUCUGUGCGAUUAAGGAAAGCUCCUAAAGAAAACUCGUGGAAAAUCCCCAUCAGUGUUCUUAGACUGAAAAUGGGUCAGGUCUGCUGCUUAUACGAGACUCAGCGGGCAGAGCCUGUGGAGGCAAGGAGGGCCUCCAUCCCUGCUGAGGACGGCCACCUGGACAGCAAGUUGGCUAAACUUAACUUCUGAACAUGGGUACCUCUGCAUGUAUGCUGGGCCCUGCACGGCACCGCACACUUCCUGUUUCCUGUCACUUGCAUAGAAGGCUACGGAACACAGGCUUUUCCCAAUCCUCACCCCUAAAGCAAACAAAAACUAUGCCUCCAGUUCAGGUAAUCUAAAUCAGCAGAUCUGUCUUGAAGUUCCCUGGGCACAAACCUUGUCUCUUCUUUGGUCCUGAUGACUAAAAGCAGCUAGGAUUUUUUAAUUGACUAGUUUUUAAGUAUUUCCAAACAGAGGAGAAAAUUAGAUCAGAAAUCUAGUAAAGUUGAAAAUUAUCUUUAAAACUACCUUUUCUCACUAGAAGUAGAACACUAGGUUAUUGAAAGCUUGUUCACGUUUGUGAUUGAUCCUGUGUUUAAGUAGUUUUAAAGUAAGUAACUCAUUUUACUGCUAACAGCUCACUUCACUGUCUGUAUUAUUACCACCAUCAUUUCUGUGAGGUUCUAGGUCUUUUGUGAACAAAUUAAAUACAGUGCUUUCUUUAUGACAUGAAUUAAAUCUAGAUCCCAAUGAUAUUUGGCAUCUUCUAAAUACCCAGAUGGGCACAGCGUUUGCCUUGAAGCGAAGACGUGCACAGGGUUUUAAUCACAUCAUGUUUUAUUUUUUCUCUUUUAAAUAUCGCCUUUUCAGCAGUUGCUUCUUAAUGAAUGACUGAUUGUUUACUGAGGUUUAUAACCAAGUAUUUUAAAAAAUUCUAAUCAAGAUUCAGAUGGAAAAAAUUUUCCUCCUCAUUCCCUCAUCCCUUACAUUAGAAUAAAAGUAAAUUGUCUUUCUUUUGGAAACCUAAUAGUUUGAGAAGUCCCAUCAUUCUCUUCCUGAAAACUUAAUUUUAAUAAAUCAGUUCAGAGGAAAUUUAACUACAGUUGUUAAAACAAAAAUAUCUUAUAAAAUAAAAACAAGGUAGGGCUAAAGUAAGUUUCACCUCUUGAGUAUGACUGCCAUGUGAAAGAAAAUGUAGUUAAAAAAUAAAUUUUGCUGUGUCUUCCCCAUGACUUCAUCACUUGGACAUACUUGACUUUUUUUAAACAGCAGAGUUGGGUAAAAACAACUGGUGUCCAAAGACCAAAUUCCAAAACAGGCCUCAGAUACCUGGAGACACGAGGGGUGUAUUCUUUUGCAGGGGUCUUAAAUGACAGUUUUGUGUCCAAAUUUUACCCUGUUUUAUCUUUGAAAGUAAUAACAGUUUCUCAAUAGCAGGUUAGUCUCUUGAUACAAGAUUGACCCAGUGACCCCCAAGAAGUUAUGCUUUGGGAGUGCUCAUUUAAUUAAGAGAAACAGAGCUGAUAAAAGGGACCAGGUAACUCAGAAAUGUUCUUUCUGUUGAACUUUUCCAGAAGAAGCACGUUAAGUCAUGGAGCAGGUGUUGCCGUUACACACAGACACACACACACACACCCUCCUCAAAGGCAACCCUAGUUUCCCAGCUUUAGCUAUCCCAAAGGACCCUCAGCACUGUGGGUUCAGGGUAGGGUCUGGGUUUAGUGAAAAUUUUUAAUGCUCCCAGGGCAGAGAGCUGACCUUAGGGCCAACAUAUGGCCACAGAAAGCUGUUACCUGUUCCAUGAGAGCAGUGGGAUGAUGCUUCCAGGUCCUGCCUGCAGAUUGCCCAAUGAGUCUAUAGUCAGUGCUGCAUUCAUAAUAGAAAUAAAUGCUCUGAUACUCAACAUUGCUAAAUAUAAUUUAUAAUUUUGAUCUAACUUUGAAACAUGAACGAUCAUGCUUUUCACACUGCUUUAAUGACUUACACAGACAAUUUAUUCUAGAUAAUGGGGAGUUAAACCUGUCAGCAUCUGAAUAUUUUUCACCCAUUUGUUCAAAUACCUGCAUUUGGGUGCUAAUGUGCAUGUUUAAUUGCUUGAACCUAAAUUAUAAAACCCCUAAAAGGAUGCUUUUAUCCUAGAGACUCCUCUCAUAAGCUCCUUGCAUUUCCCAGGAUUUAUGUGCCAGCCCCUCUUAGAAGAGGUCUGCUUUAAAAUACAGGAAGUUGAGCUCUUCAGGGAAAGUGUAGAUAGCCGAAUCAUCAGCAGAAUCACUACAGGCAUUCCAUGAGAAGUCUGUUCUGUCAGAACCAAGUUUAAUCCAGGAGCUAUUGUUUACCCAGGUUUCUUGACGGUGAUGAUGAGCAUGGUCAGAAGGCUGUUAGUAGCUGCCCAGAGAGACUGCCUCUUUUUAAAGCUCCAAUCAUUCAAAUCUGGUCAUGCCUUACUUUCUGCAGCCACAGAAGAGAGCAGAAUGAGAUUAAAAUGGCCCUGCAACAGAGCAGGGUGCUCUUGGCUUGCACUUUGUUGUUUGUUCCUCCAGUGGUUCCUAGCUGUUGUGACGUCAAGGCUGCCAUACAGGGCAGAAAAAAAGGAAACCUUGCCUUCUCUUUGCAUCAGUAGCCUGGACAAGCUCUUGUUUCCCAGGCAUCCAAAAUGCUCUCUGUCUGGCAGAGCUGUGCAUUCCAUGCCUGGGUGACCUGGUUAAAUGGAGGAAACCAAAUAUUCUCCGCUGAAUGCUCUCCAAAACAAGCAUUCCACCCUGAGCUUCUGAAGUAUAGGCUUCACUGCUCCUGAGGGCUGUAAAUGGAGCUGUUGCAUUGCUCUACAUUAUCUGCUGGCGUAUUCAGCCUCUGUUUAGAGGCUUAAAAGAGAGAGAAUCAUUAUCAACAGUCUUCAUUAAUAUACACUGCAACAACAUCAUUAUGCUGCCUUUUGGGGUCAGUGCUAUAGAAUUCUUUUUGGAAAACAAGUCCUGUGUUAAAAAUCGUUUGAGUCAUGGAAGUUCACAACUGCCACCUCUUCCUUCCCAUUCCAUUUCUGCCCACCUCAUUCCCCAAUUUCAGAUUUCUGAAUUUUAGAAAGGUUCUAGGAAGUAAUAUAUACUUACCUAUUAAUUUUGCACUCUGCAUUAUUAAGCUUGCAUAUCUUUUGCAUAUAUAUGAAAAAGAAUCUCACUGUAAUAUGUAGGUCACAGACUCUGGAUUUUUCUUACCAAAGAGUAACACCUUUUGUUUAUCAGAGGGAAGGAACUAUUUCAAAGUAUCACAGAACUGCUGUCUCUUCAGGAACAAGCCAAGAUCCCUACGGCAAACAGCAGUCUUGCAAGGCCAGAAACUCACUGAUAAUGUUCUGGUUGCUUACAGUGAAUGCCUCAGAAUUUACCAAUUAAGACUCAGUCUUCUGAGGGUGUGCCUUCUUGGGUUUCUUCCUGGCAUGAGAGAGAGCAUUAUUUUAUUAGAUUCUUGGAGGUGGACGAUAUAGUCAUUAGAAAAAGCACAACCGCCACAUGUUGUAUUCUAAAGUUGUCUUGGUUAAAUCAAUAUGCAUUAGAGGUUUUAUGUUACAAAUCCAUUAAAUCUUUCUCAAAAUAGCCCUCCUCUGAACCUUUGAUUGAAGGAUAUUUGUAGAAACCAAAACCAUUUAAUUUUAUACACAGAUGUAUAUACAUGCAGGAAGGAUCUUAACACAGCAGGCCCUUUUUGAAGUGAAUUAUUACAGGACAAAAUUCUUCCAUAUUACUAACUCUUGUCUUCCAAAAAAAAAAAAGAUCCUCAGGUAACUGGAUAGAGAUGGAAUAGAUGGAGUGAAUCUUGAAAGGAGAUUUUACAACAAGGAUUUACUGGACUGCAGUCUAGUUUUGCCUGGACAGACUUGCCCAAGGACUAGCCUACUGCCAUAUGAAUGCCAUAUCUAUGCCAUUGUAGUUGCCAGAAUGGGAAUAGGGCACAUGGAGCUCUUUAGCAUGGCUUCUUCGUGGGUGCUUUGGACCAUGUGAUGCUGAGAAUCUUGAAAUGAGAGGAAGAACUGGGACAUUACUUUCCAUUUGUAAACUGGAGAAUUAGUCAUUUUUGUUGUUGGCUACUAUUUACAUAACAGCCAUCCUUUUAUUUAUUUUUCCUAUUAAUACCAUUUCAGUAGGUCCUUAUUAUCUGUAGAUAACUGGUACCAGAAAACUGCUACUUUAAGAGAAUCAAAUUAAAACUGAAUCAAACAUUUAAAACAAACAUUAUGAGGAUUAAUUCUUGAAAAGUUAAAAAAAAAGUUAAAUCUAAGCUUGUUUUACAUUACAUAACAGAAAUUUGGGACAUGAUACAACAAUAUAUUAUUUCUUAAAACAAAGAUGGAAUGUCAGCCUUUGUGGCAGAAUCAUGAAGAGGGUGAUUUUGGUUGAUAUAGGCAUUCAAAUUUUCCCAAGAGCUACUCUUAAUCUUUGUAUGUAGACUCUCAUGAAGUCAUCUGCUGGCUGCUGCUUCCUCAAUCAUUUAAUAUUCAAAUUCUCUUUGAUCCUUAUUUGUCAAUGACGGUGGGUAACUUAAGCAAUUCUCUAGUGUCACUUUCAUCAACUUUAUGUAAAACCGGCAAGUUCAUGUUACAAGUGGACUAUAUUGUAUGUGCAUUUUUAUUCCAUGAUACUGACCAAGAAAGUGAGCAGGAAUAGAUGCUUAUGUUAACGAGGAUGAAACAAACGUUAAGUGAUCACUUUAUCUGCCAGUAUUUUUAUAUUAUGAUGACCUGUGUGUCCUUACCUGUGUAACCUGGUAACUGAAGGACUCAGAGAAUGAUUAUGCAAGUAAUUAGAACUCCCCCCACCCCAUAUUGUGUUACAUUUAAGGCAAUCAAUAUGGUUUAGUGGGCUUUAUCAUAAACCACAUAUAGAUUUGUAUGUCAUUCCUUGGCACUUAACUAAGUUAUAUAACCUUGAGUAAGUUACUCAAAGAACUUCAGACUUCAUUACUCUGCAGAGGAAUAAAACCAGCCUUGCCAAGUGGUCAUGGGAAUUAGAGCCCAUGUGUAUAAAACUCCUGGAUAAUACGUAGUGCAGCUCAGGAAAUGAUGCCUGUUUGGUUGCUAUUGCAUUUCUGUGGUACCUUAGACUUUUUUUAUUAUUAUUAAGAUAUCAUUGAUAUACAAUCCUGUGAGGGUUUCACAUGAGCAACAUUGUGGUCACUACAUUCACCCAUAUUAUCGAGUCCCCGCCACCUCCCCAACCACAGUCGCAUUGUCCAUCAGCACAGUAAGAUUGUGGUACUUUAGACUUUAUAUGAGACUUUCAUGUUUAAUUCAGGCUGAAGAACUUAAAUUUUAGCAGUCACUAAAUAUUUUUAAGGUAUGCAGUGACCUGAGGAAACUAAAUUUCAGAUUGUAUUUGAUUGACUGUGUACAUCACGGAUCACAUCGCAUAGUUUGAUGGCCACUUUAUGGUACAGAUGAAAACACUGAGCAAGGAAAUUACCUAACAUUCCCAGGGUCACAUGGUUUGUAUCUGGCAGAGGUGAACCCAGAACCCAGUCUUCACUGUGUUUUCCACAGCAUAGUUGUGAAGUGAGCCAAUUAAAAAGGCCAUCAUACUUGUCCGGUGUGUUUCCCAGGAGUGGGAAUGGGAGGAAAAGGACAGAGGCAGGGCUGCCGAGAGCAGGUGCUGGUUCCACUCGGCUCCAUGAAAAACCGGGUCAAGGAUCCAAACAUGUAAGCCUGGUCAGAUGGCCAUACAGUUAAACUAAAAUAGGUAGAAUUGGUUGAUUUUGUUGUUCUCUGAAGAGUUUAAAGGGGAUGUCCAGGUGGAAAUAUAUAAGAUUAAAGGGAGGGGAAGAUAUUAGUGCUCAAGAAAUAAAUAUAAGACUCCUGCUGAAAAAGGAACCUUGAAAGCACUGUAGGGUAUGUAAGUACAUGCCACCUUAUAUACUUAUAUAAUAAGUGUAUGCGUGUUUGUGUGUUUUAAACUGGACUUUGCGGCAUAUUCCCCAUUCAGGAUGAGCGGUGUUACAGCUUACUACCCAGUUAUUAUCACAAACUGUUACACCUUCAUCAGAGAGAAGAGCUGUUCCCAUAGAUUCUUCGUGUCUGUGUGUGUUUUGUUGGAUGGAUCCUGCUGUGGCACUGAGAGACAGACUCUGCUGGGCCCUGUUUUGUAAACAAAUCUGUUCACACACACUUUCUUCCAUCGUUGUAUGUGUACACUGGCUCUGCUUUUCCCGCCAGACACAAGGAAGCCCUAGAGGUGGAGAAGCCUGUUUUCCUUUAGAAGUAUGCAGGUAUCAAAGAAAAAUGCACAUCUACCUUGUAUAAGUGUUUGAAUCCUCACAGUUUUAACUCUGGGCCAUGAAUUCUGCAAGUACAUGGUAGCCCAGUACACACACAGUGCCCCUGGGAGGCAUCCUGAAAGAUGCCACACAAUUCUGUGUUGAGCUCAGUAAAUAAAGCAAGCUCUUUUUACCCCUGAAGUGCAUUCUGUGGGCCAUAAGCGGGUCUUGUCACCCAAGGUGAUAAAGCAGAACUCUGCUUUUUCCAAUAAGGGGUGAUUCAUCCCUUUCUUAGAUUGGAAUAUGAACCUAUAACAAUAUAUAUCCAUAUAGUCACUUCCUACCUAUGGUUUUUUGAGUGUUUUAUUUAAUAUUCUAGCCAAGUUCAAGUUUUUAUGACAGGAAGCAUGUGAAUGGUUAUGACAGGAGUAAAUAACAUUUGAUUUUAUGAUUACAGUACAGGAAGUAACUUUUCAUGCCAAAUAAAUCUUUGGGGGGAAAAAAAGUGCCGGCUUAUAAAUUUAACGUACAUAAAUUUCCGAGAAUCUUUGUUCUCUUAAGAAGAAAUAAAAUCAGAAUAUGGUCUUAACUUCUUCCUCUUCUUAACUUUUUUUGUCAACAAAUGUCUGUUUUAAGAAGAGGCACUUUCAAGGUAUUUUGGUGUGACCCAACAUGAUACGGAACCAUUAAAAAAAAUUCUAAGUGAAAAUAGUAAGGCCAAACUUUAUGGAAUAAAUAGCAUGAAAGGCUUGAACACUUUAAAUAGGAAAUUACUUUUUCUUUAAGAGUAAAUAGCCAAAUCAUUAUUCACCACUGAAGCUGAGGUGCCCUCCCCCGCAACCUGCAACUCCCAGUUGCUCUUGUGGCUCUGUACAGUUAAGUACGUGGGAAAGACAAUUUGUUUAACAUCAGAGCAUCUGCAUA
Manis javanica (Malayan pangolin) is the source of this 8745-nucleotide non-coding RNA. Lineage: Eukaryota; Metazoa; Chordata; Mammalia; Pholidota; Manidae. The record is from RefSeq and is a predicted model, not a curated record.